This 72-nucleotide transfer RNA is filed under the name Stegodyphus mimosarum. It matches the Rfam family "tRNA". From Rfam's summary of the family: Transfer RNA (tRNA) molecules are approximately 80 nucleotides in length. Their secondary structure includes four short double-helical elements and three loops (D, anti-codon, and T loops). Further hydrogen bonds mediate the characteristic L-shaped molecular structure. tRNAs have two regions of fundamental functional importance: the anti-codon, which is responsible for specific mRNA codon recognition, and the 3' end, to which the tRNAs corresponding amino acid is attached (by aminoacyl-tRNA synthetases). tRNAs cope with the degeneracy of the genetic code in two manners: having more than one tRNA (with a specific anti-codon) for a particular amino acid; and 'wobble' base-pairing, i.e. permitting non-standard base-pairing at the 3rd anti-codon position. The record is from Rfam by way of RNAcentral. Lineage: Eukaryota; Metazoa; Arthropoda; Arachnida; Araneae; Eresidae.
GCCUUUGUGGCGUAACUCGAAUACGUCCGACUCGUAAUCGGAAAGUCUGAAGUUCGAAUCCUGGCGAGGGCA